ACGACCUUACUUGAACAGGAUCUGUUCUAUAGGCUCGUAACACUGUAUCCUUGACUUCAAAAGAGACAGAAAAUCAAGUCUAGUGGAUGAACCGUGGCCAUGAGACUAGAACGUGAUUAACAGCCUCCAUGGCCUUUAGGUCAUGAUGCAGUAGAUUGUCGUUCUCAGCCUGGUUCGCUGGGCUAGAGAUGGUCUCGUGGCUAUCUGACAGAAU
This is a non-coding RNA of Capsicum annuum, 214 nucleotides long. NCBI's taxonomy places the organism in Eukaryota, Viridiplantae, Streptophyta, Magnoliopsida, Solanales, Solanaceae. The record is from Rfam.